UACGUAGGGUGCAAGCGUUUAAUCGGAAUUACUGGGCGUAAAGCGUGCGCAGGCGGUUUUGUAAGUCUGUCGUGAAAUCCCCCGGGCUCAACCUGGGAAUUGCGAUGGAGACUGCAAGGCUAGAAUCUGGCAGAGGGGGGGUAGAAUUCCACGUGUGAGCAGUGAAAUGCGUAGAGAUGUGGAGGAACACCGAUGGCGAAAGGCAGCCCCCUGGGUCAAGAUUGACGCUCAUGCACGAAAGCGUGGGGAGCAAACGAGGA
RNAcentral lists this ribosomal RNA (260 nucleotides) under uncultured bacterium. RNAcentral describes it as "partial 16S ribosomal RNA". It matches the Rfam family "Bacterial small subunit ribosomal RNA", at positions 524 to 778 of the family's 1533-position model. The record is from RNAcentral.